Molecule: ribosomal RNA, 368 nt
Filed under: uncultured bacterium
Lineage: Bacteria
Description: bacterial SSU rRNA
Rfam family: Bacterial small subunit ribosomal RNA
Source: RNAcentral
AGCGAACGCUGGCGGCAGGCCUAACACAUGCAAGUCGAACGAACCCUUCGGGGUUAGUGGCGGACGGGUGAGUAACACGUGGGAACGUACCUUUAGGUUCGGAACAACACAGGGAAACUUGUGCUAAUGCCGAAUGUGCCCUUCGGGGGAAAGAUUUAUCGCCUUUAGAGCGGCCCGCGUCUGAUUAGCUUGUUGGUGAGGUAAAGGCUCACCAAGGCUUCGAUCAGUAGCUGGUCUGAGAGGAUGAUCAGCCACACUGGGACUGAGACACGGCCCAGACUCCUACGGGAGGCAGCAGUGGGGAAUCUUGCGCAAUGGGCGAAAGCCUGACGCAGCCAUGCCGCGUGAAUGAUGAAGGUCUUAGGAUU